This 998-nucleotide ribosomal RNA is filed under the name Staphylococcus arlettae. RNAcentral describes it as "bacterial SSU rRNA". It matches the Rfam family "Bacterial small subunit ribosomal RNA", at positions 62 to 1205 of the family's 1533-position model. The record is from RNAcentral. Lineage: Bacteria; Bacillati; Bacillota; Bacilli; Caryophanales; Staphylococcaceae.
UCAGAGCAGAACAGAAAAGGGAGCUUGCUCCUUUGACGUUAGCGGCGGACGGGUGAGUAACACGUGGGUAACCUACCUAUAAGACGGGAAUAACUCCGGGAAACCGGGGCUAAUGCCGGAUAACAUUUAGAACCGCAGGGUUCUAAAGUGAAAGAUGGUUUUGCUAUCACUUAUAGAUGGACCCGCGCCGUAUUAGCUAGUUGGUAAGGUAAGGGCUUACCAAGGCAACGAUACGUACCCAACCUGAGAGGGUGAUCGGCCACACUGGAACUGAGACACGGUCCAAACUCCUACGGGAGGCAGCAGUAGGGAAUCUUCCGCAAUGGGCGAAAGCCUGACGGAGCAACGCCGCGUGAGUGAUGAAGGGUUUCGGCUCGUAAAACUCUGUUAUUAGGGAAGAACAAACGUGUAAGUAACUGUGCACGUCUUGACGGUACCUAAUCAAAAAGCCACGGCUAACUACGUGCCAGCAGCCGCGGUAAUACGUAGGUGGCAAGCGUUAUCCGGAAUUAUUGGGCGUAAAGCGCGCGUAGGCGGUUUCUUAAGUCUGAUGUGAAAGCCCACGGCUCAACCGUGGAGGGUCAUUGGAAACUGGGAGACUUGAGUGCAGAAGAGGAAGUGGAAUUCCCUGUGUAGCGGUGAAAUGCGCAGAGAUAUGGAGGAACCAGUGGCGAAGGCGACUUUCUGGUCUGUACUGACGCUGAUGUGCGAAGCGUGGGGAUCAAAAGGAUUAUAUCCCCUGGGAGUCCCCCCGUAAACGAUGAGUGCUACUGUUAGGGGGUUUCUCCCCUUAUUGCUGCAGCAACGCAUUAAUAUUCCGCUGGGGAGUACAACGCAAGGUGGAUUUUUAAGAUUGAAUGGAACCCCCCAGCGGGGCAUUUGGGCUUAAUUCAAACAAACGCAGGACCUUAAAAAUUUUGGAUUCGUUGGCCGUUUAAAGUAAGGUUUACCUUUCGGGUAAAAGGAAAGGGGAAUUGGUUGCUUAUUCCUUCCCAAAA